This 305-nucleotide ribosomal RNA is filed under the name uncultured bacterium. Its description in RNAcentral is "bacterial SSU rRNA". It matches the Rfam family "Bacterial small subunit ribosomal RNA", at positions 338 to 640 of the family's 1533-position model. The record is from RNAcentral.
CCUACGGGAGGCAGCAGUGAGGAAUAUUGGUCAAUGGGCGGAAGCCUGAACCAGCCAAGUCGCGUGAGGGAAUAAGGCCCUACGGGUCGUAAACCUCUUUUGCCGGGGAGCAAGGGCGGGGACGUGUCCCGGCCCGGAGAGUACCCGGAGAAAAAGCAUCGGCUAACUCCGUGCCAGCAGCCGCGGUAAUACGGAGGAUGCGAGCGUUAUCCGGAUUUAUUGGGUUUAAAGGGUGCGCAGGCGGUCUGUUAAGUCAGCGGUCAAAGCCCGGGGCUCAACCCCGGUCCGCCGUUGAAACUGGCAGU